RNAcentral lists this ribosomal RNA (253 nucleotides) under uncultured bacterium. RNAcentral's name for it is "partial 16S ribosomal RNA". It matches the Rfam family "Bacterial small subunit ribosomal RNA", at positions 524 to 776 of the family's 1533-position model. The record is from RNAcentral.
UACGUAGGUGGCAAGCGUUGUCCGGAAUUAUUGGGCGUAAAGCGCGCGCAGGUGGUUCCUUAAGUCUGAUGUGAAAGCCCACGGCUCAACCGUGGAGGGUCAUUGGAAACUGGGGAACUUGAGUGCAGAAGAGGAAAGUGGAAUUCCCAGUGUAGCGGUGAAAUGCGUAGAUAUUGGGAAGAAUACCUGAGGCGAAGGCGGGUUGCUGGGCCGACACUGACGCUGAGGCGCGAAAGCCAGGGGAGCAAACGGG